Molecule: ribosomal RNA, 389 nt
Filed under: Atractus favae
Lineage: Eukaryota; Metazoa; Chordata; Lepidosauria; Squamata; Dipsadidae
Description: partial large subunit ribosomal RNA
Rfam family: Bacterial large subunit ribosomal RNA
Source: RNAcentral
AACCGUGCAAAGGUAGCGUAAUCAUUUGUCUAUUAAUUGUAGACCAGUAUGAAAGGCAUAAUGAGGGUCUAUCUGUCUCUUAUAAUAAAUCAAUUAAACUGAUCCCCUAGUAAAAAAGCUAGAAUAUCCACACAAGACCAGAAGACCCUGUGAAGCUUAAACUAACCUAUUAAACCCUAUAAUACUUACUUUCGGUUGGGGCGACCUUGGAAAAAAAAAGAACUUCCAAAUAUAUGACUAUAAAUCACACACCGGCCCACAAGCCUCACACAGACCCAGCAUGCCUGACAAUUGAACCAAGUUACUCCAGGGAUAACAGCGCCAUCUUCUUCAAGAGUCCAUAUCAAAAAGAAGGUUUACGACCUCGAUGUUGGAUCAGGACAUCCUAA